CUUUGCUGGCGACCGGCGCACGGGUGAGUAACACGUAUCCAACCUACCCUUUACUCGGGGAUAGCCUUUCGAAAGAAAGAUUAAUACCCGAUAGCAUAAUGAUUCCGCAUGGUUUCAUUAUUAAAGGAUUCCGGUAAAGGAUGGGGAGUGCGUUCCAUUAGGUUGUUGGUGGGGUAACGGCCCACCAAGCCUUCGAUGGAUAGGGGUUCUGAGAGGAAGGUCCCCCACAUUGGAACUGAGACACGGUCCAAACUCCUACGGGAGGCAGCAUG
This 272-nucleotide ribosomal RNA is filed under the name uncultured bacterium. RNAcentral's name for it is "partial 16S ribosomal RNA". It matches the Rfam family "Bacterial small subunit ribosomal RNA", at positions 83 to 353 of the family's 1533-position model. The record is from RNAcentral.